CCUGGAGAUCUGAGGGGAAGCAA
Molecule: unclassified non-coding RNA, 23 nt
Filed under: Mus musculus (house mouse)
Lineage: Eukaryota; Metazoa; Chordata; Mammalia; Rodentia; Muridae
Description: oocyte_clustered_small_RNA1828
Source: RNAcentral